This 327-nucleotide unclassified non-coding RNA is filed under the name soil metagenome. RNAcentral describes it as "partial contains 5.8S ribosomal RNA, internal transcribed spacer 2, and large subunit ribosomal RNA". The stretch from base 1 to 120 matches the Rfam family "5.8S ribosomal RNA", at positions 35 to 154 of the family's 154-position model. The record is from RNAcentral.
GAUGAAGAACGCAGCGAAAUGCGAUAUGUAAUGUGAAUUGCAGAAUUCAGUGAAUCAUCGAAUCUUUGAACGCACAUUGCGCCCCUUGGUAUUCCGGGGGGCAUGCCUGUUCGAGCGUCAUUAUAACCCCUCAAGCUCAGCUUGGUGUUGGGGCCUGCCAACUGGCAGCCCUUAAAAUCAGUGGCGGCGCCAUCUGGCUCUAAGCGUAGUAAUUUCUCUCGCUAUAGGGUCCCGGUGGAUGCUUGCCAACAACCCCCAAUUUUCUAUGGUUGACCUCGGAUCAGGUAGGGAUACCCGCUGAACUUAAGCAUAUCAAUAAGCGGAGGA